GGCAUGUUAUUGGAGCAGAAGGAGGAGGCGGUGCUUCAGCUGCUGUCGGAUCAUUCGCUCCUCGAGGAACAAGUCAAAAUCGCCUUGAAAACCUUGCAGGACUCAGGCAGAGUGCCGAGGGGACAGAAGUGAGCGACGGCUCUGACAGAGAGGAAGUGGAAUCCAUUGGCAAGACGCUUUUCAAUGUUGUGCAUCAGUUAGACCCCACCCACUGCGCUGACAUCACCGGAAUGCUGAAACAGAUUCUGUCCGAACGGAGCAUCCUGGAAGUUGCAGUUCAGAGAGCAAAAAGUGCACUGGAGGGCUUGCUGAGCCCAACACACUCAGAAAUGUCAGAAUGAGGCUUGGAAUCUCUGCAGACUAUUUAAAGCCUGAAUUGCUGUGCAUUUUACUUGCAUCAUUCAAGACAUUGUUUACAUGGACUUCCUUUUUAGGAUUUUUGACACAUUUAUUGAUAUAAAUGAGGAGGAAAAGGAGAGGAAAAGAUUGUGAAGAAAAAAGGUGGAAUUGCAUCAGGCUGGAUUUGAACCUGCUUUACCUGCAUGAGCACCUCAGCUAAAUGCGUCUAGAGCAUGUGCAUUAACCACUAGGUCAUGGCUUUUGCAUUCCAGAUGCGGCCGCACAUUUACAUAUAAUGUAAAUAUGUUUGUAAAUAAAGAAUGCAAAGUUUCUCUCUGUAGUUUUUUAUGAGAUUUAUGUAAAUUCUAAAAAU
RNAcentral lists this long non-coding RNA (712 nucleotides) under Sinocyclocheilus grahami. Its description in RNAcentral is "lncRNA (ENSSGRG00000045148.1)". The record is from RNAcentral. Lineage: Eukaryota; Metazoa; Chordata; Actinopteri; Cypriniformes; Cyprinidae.